AUACAGAGGGUGCAAGCGUUAAUCGGAAUGACUGGGCGUAAAGGGCGUGUAGGUGGUUGAAUACGUUAGAUGUGAAAUACCCGGGCUUAACCUGGGGAGGUCAUCUAAUACGGUUUAACUAGAGUACAGUAGAGGAAAGUAGAAUUUCCGGUGUAGCAGUGAAAUGCGUAGAUAUCGGAAGGAAUACCAGUGGCGAAGGCGGCUUUCUGGACUGUAACUGACACUGAGGCGCGAAAGCGUGGGGAGCAAACAGGAUUAGAAACCCUAGUAGUCC
This 274-nucleotide ribosomal RNA is filed under the name uncultured bacterium. RNAcentral's name for it is "partial 16S ribosomal RNA". It matches the Rfam family "Bacterial small subunit ribosomal RNA", at positions 523 to 796 of the family's 1533-position model. The record is from RNAcentral.